CUGCUUAAAACAUGUUAUAGUGAAAACAAAAAGCAAGUAUAUGAAUCUGUAUCUAUCUAUAUCAUAUUAAAGAGUUAAAUUAUUUUUCUAUUUGUCUUUUUUUUACUUUCGAAAAUGUCUUGCUUCUCUUCUUAUUCAUAUUUGACCUGGUGGACACAUGACUCGUGCUCAUAUGAGCUAGAACAACAUGCGUUUAUGCAUCUAAUGAUGGUAUGAUGAAGUCCGGUUUCAAUACAUAUUUGAAUUGAACAGAUGAUAUGACCCUACAUAAAUCUUCGAGUUAAGUCAUUCAGGUGACCGCGCAACAAGAUUUAUGUUCCGUUGUAACACAUGGUUAGUCUGAUAGUUCAUACAUAUGUCGAAGUGGAGAGAGUACUAAAAGCAGUAAUGGGCAA
RNAcentral lists this long non-coding RNA (395 nucleotides) under Sorghum bicolor (sorghum). Its description in RNAcentral is "long non-coding RNA (SBIC_LNC011033)". The record is from RNAcentral. Lineage: Eukaryota; Viridiplantae; Streptophyta; Magnoliopsida; Poales; Poaceae.